RNAcentral lists this ribosomal RNA (156 nucleotides) under Aspergillus niger. Its description in RNAcentral is "5.8S ribosomal RNA". It matches the Rfam family "5.8S ribosomal RNA". Rfam says of the family: 5.8S ribosomal RNA (5.8S rRNA) is a component of the large subunit of the eukaryotic ribosome. RNAcentral also lists the same sequence under 1 other name. Lineage: Eukaryota; Fungi; Ascomycota; Eurotiomycetes; Eurotiales; Aspergillaceae. The record is from RNAcentral.
AAAACUUUCAACAAUGGAUCUCUUGGUUCCGGCAUCGAUGAAGAACGCAGCGAAAUGCGAUAACUAAUGUGAAUUGCAGAAUUCAGUGAAUCAUCGAGUCUUUGAACGCACAUUGCGCCCCCUGGUAUUCCGGGGGGCAUGCCUGUCCGAGCGUCA